Molecule: ribosomal RNA, 465 nt
Filed under: uncultured Pseudomonas sp.
Lineage: Bacteria; Pseudomonadati; Pseudomonadota; Gammaproteobacteria; Pseudomonadales; Pseudomonadaceae
Description: partial 16S ribosomal RNA
Source: RNAcentral
GACUACAGGGGUAUCUAAUCCUGUUUGCUCCCCACGCUUUCGCACCUCAGUGUCAGUAUUAGCCCAGGUGGUCGCCUUCGCCACUGGUGUUCCUUCCUAUAUCUACGCAUUUCACCGCUACACAGGAAAUUCCACCACCCUCUGCCAUACUCUAGUCAGACAGUUUUGGAUGCAAUUCCCAGGUUGAGCCCGGGGCUUUCACAUCCAACUUAUCAAACCACCUACGCGCGCUUUACGCCCAGUAAUUCCGAUUAACGCUUGCACCCUUCGUAUUACCGCGGCUGCUGGCACGAAGUUAGCCGGUGCUUAUUCUGUCGGUAACGUCAAAACAGCAAGGUAUUAGCUUACUGCCCUUCCUCCCAACUUAAAGUGCUUUACAAUCCGAAGACCUUCUUCACACACGCGGCAUGGCUGGAUCAGGCUUUCGCCCAUUGUCCAAUAUUCCCCACUGCAGCCUCCCGUAGG